This 384-nucleotide long non-coding RNA is filed under the name Rattus norvegicus (Norway rat). Its description in RNAcentral is "long non-coding RNA NONRATT006738". Lineage: Eukaryota; Metazoa; Chordata; Mammalia; Rodentia; Muridae. The record is from RNAcentral.
UGCAUCCCAAGAAGUAGGAAGACACAAGGGUAGUCCCUGUGGGUGUGGCCAGCAGUCUUCCAGUGUUGAACAGGUUCAUUCAGUCCUCAGUCUUCCAGGGUUGAAUGAUGCAUUCAGUCCCCAGAAGGCCCACUUGAGCUCUGCCUGCCCAGGACACAGAGAGGAGCUUGACCAGCCUUUGUCAGGACUCCGUGGGAGCUCUAGGACACUGGUGGGUCACCUCAACUGCUCCUGUUCUGGCUGGAGACAGCUGUGGGGGAGGAGGGGGGAGAGGCAGUGUCCUGUUGGACCCCCGUCCCCCUCAGCAGGUUAAUCCCUCUGCCUCUGUGUCACAUUGUUGAGAAUUAACUUUGUUGAAAUAAAAAUUGGUCUUGGUAUUAACUC